RNAcentral lists this ribosomal RNA (253 nucleotides) under uncultured bacterium. RNAcentral describes it as "partial 16S ribosomal RNA". It matches the Rfam family "Bacterial small subunit ribosomal RNA", at positions 524 to 776 of the family's 1533-position model. The record is from RNAcentral.
UACGUAGGGUGCGAGCGUUGUCCGGAAUUAUUGGGCGUAAAGAGCUUGUAGGCGGUCUGUCGCGUCUGCUGUGAAAAUCCGGGGCUCAACCCCGGACUUGCAGUGGGUACGGGCAGACUAGAGUGUGGUAGGGGAGACUGGAAUUCCUGGUGUAGCGGUGAAAUGUGCAGAUAUCAGGAGGAACACCGAUGGCGAAGGCAGGUCUCUGGGCCACUACUGACGCUGAGAAGCGAAAGCAUGGGGAGCGAACAGG